AGGUAGAACACCUGUUCAUAGGCUCUAAGUGGAAGUACAGCAAUGUAUGAAGCUGAGGAGUACUAAUAGACCGAGGGCUUGACCUC
This 86-nucleotide non-coding RNA is filed under the name Hapalosiphon sp. MRB220. RNAcentral's name for it is "partial 23S ribosomal RNA". It matches the Rfam family "Bacterial large subunit ribosomal RNA", at positions 2838 to 2925 of the family's 2925-position model. Lineage: Bacteria; Bacillati; Cyanobacteriota; Cyanophyceae; Nostocales; Hapalosiphonaceae. The record is from RNAcentral.